GGAACGCUUGGGUGGCUCAGCAGUUUGGCACCUACCUUCCACCCAGGGUGUGAUCCUUGGGUCCCAGGAUCGGGUCCCACAUCAGGCUCCCUGCAUGGAGCCUGCUUCUCCCUCUGCCUGUGUCUCUGCCUCUCUCUCUGUGUCUCUCAAGAAUAAAUAGAUAAAAUCUUAAAAAAAAAAAAAAAAGGAAACAGGAGGUUGAAGCCUAGUGAACUUUUAUUGGCAGAAUUGUGAGUCUCAUUGGCUGGGCUGUUGUCAGGGGAGGAGAAAAUCCUCCUAGGGUAGUUAAGUAGUAACUAAAAUAGUUGUGUCUCUUCCUGUUGGGGGUGCUAUAGUCAGUGAGUGGUGUGAGAGCUCCCCCUGUUGGCCUCCUGACUCCAUUCUCUCUCUCUCUUUUUUAAUAUUUUAUUUAUUUAUUCAGGAGAGACACAGAGAGAGGCAGAGACACAGGCAGAGGGAGAAGCAGGCUCCACGCAGAAAGCCCGACGUGGGACUCGAUCCAGGGUCUCCAGGAUCAGGCCCUGGGCUGAAGGAUGUACUAAACCGCUGAGCCACCUGGGCUGCCCCCUGACUCCAUUCUCAAGGAGAUUUCUUUGUACUAAUUUUCACAGAAACUUUGUUAUUUAUUUAUUUUUUCCUAUUGUAUUAUGGUAUCAAGUACUAGAUAGGCCUUACUUGUUUUUUUUUUUUUUUAAAGGAUUUUAUUCAUUUACUCAUGAGAGACACAGGGAGAGAGAGAGGCACAGACACAGGCAGAGGGAGAUGCAGGCUCCACAUAGGGAGCCUGAUGUGGGACUCGAUCCCAGGACUCCAGGAUCAUACCCUGGGCCAAAGGCAGGAGCUAAACCCCUGAGCCACCCAGGGACCUCCCGCCUUACUUGUUUUGAAUAUACAUUUUAUCUUUUUUUUUUUAGAUUUUAUUUCUUUAUUUAUGAGAGGCACAGAGAGAGAGGCAGAGACAUAGACGGAGAAGCAGGCUCCCUGUGGGGAGCCUUAAGUGGAACCCAAUCCCAGCACCCUGAGAUCACUACCUGAGCCAAUGGUAGAUGCUCAACCACUGAGCCACUCAGGUGCCCUUAUAUUUUUCUUUUUUAAAUAUUUUAUUUUUAAGUAAUCUCCACACCCAGUGUAGGACUCAAACUUACAACCUCAAGGUCAAGAGUUGCAUACUCUACCAACUCAGCCAACCAGGUGCCCCUACACUUUACCUUUUUUCAUCAAAAAUGUUUUCAUUGGCCUGAAGAGCCUUACUCUGUUUUCUUUGUCAGUAAAUGUUUACCGUAUAUUUGUAAGUAUGCAAAGUUGUUCAUAGAGUAUAGUCUCCUGUAAAUAUUUAAUCUUUUCUCUUUCAGUUGUCUUUUCUUCUUGGGAUUUGAACUACAGAUUGUGAAUUAAGAAUAGAGACCUAUGCAAGGACAAUAAAAUCUAGAGCUAGGAAUGACUCUUCUUGACUAUGUCAGAAUGAGUAAUGUUGGGAACUGUAAUUUUUAGAAUCAUGAUUUUGUGUUAAAAUCCACCAAAGCCUCACACACAUGAAUCUUAGGAUGCAGAAGUGAACUAGGAUUUAGUCAGGUUUUGGAGCCAACUUUGUAGAAGGAGAUAGAAGCAUAGGGCCAUUGCAAACAUGUGCUUCCAACCUGUAUUCCUUAUUCCUUGCACUGCCAAUCAAGUAUAUCCUCCAAACCACCAUUGCCUGUUAGACUUCCAUUUGAUCUGAGCAGUAGGGAUCUGCAGUUGUCUCCACAGUUCAACUUUGAAGAUCCAGUGCAGUUUGGAUUUCCUGCAAGUUGUCAUGCAUUCACCAGGAAACAGAUUUAUACAAUCAUGGUUGAGAAUGUUUUCUGAAGCACUACUCUCCUCUUCUCUCGCUUAUUUUUAGAUAAGGUCUAAUUUGUAUAGUAAAAACUUUGUUCUGUUAAUACCCCUAGUGACUGUGUGUUCCUGAUUCCACUAUGAGAGCUACAUGGUGCAGUCCAAAAGAACUAUGUGAGAGUUUUCUUCUGCACCGUGCAGUAACUGCUGUGACCCAGUCCUUUCCUGUGGGAAUUGACACCUUUCUCAUAUUAGCAGAUUCUGGGUGUUUUGUGUUAUGACUCAUAGCUAAGUGUAAUCCAUCAGUAUUUUUUCAGUUAAGUUGGAUUCUGUGUUAUUAAAAGUAUGUGCAUUUUUUUUCUCUAA
This 2178-nucleotide long non-coding RNA is filed under the name Canis lupus familiaris (dog). RNAcentral describes it as "lncRNA (ENSCAFG00000054564.1)". The record is from RNAcentral. Lineage: Eukaryota; Metazoa; Chordata; Mammalia; Carnivora; Canidae.